This 253-nucleotide long non-coding RNA is filed under the name Chinchilla lanigera (long-tailed chinchilla). Its description in RNAcentral is "lncRNA (ENSCLAG00000027161.1)". The record is from RNAcentral. Lineage: Eukaryota; Metazoa; Chordata; Mammalia; Rodentia; Chinchillidae.
AAAGACAGUCACCAUGGCAGCCGGGCGUCACAGCUACCCAGUUCUGGAGUGGAUUCAUCCCAAGAUGCCCUGCGGUUGCUCUUUCUCUUUUUAAUUUUAAGCUGCAACAUGGGGGAUAUUUUCAACGAUUGACUAACCUACCCUCAAAGGGAAAAAAUCCUGCUCUAGUUACCUGUUGGUUGCGUCAAAAUCAAAGGUGAAGAAACCUUGAAGAACAUCGACGGAAAUGAAUUUAAAUGAAAUUAAAGACGAA